This is a long non-coding RNA of Heterocephalus glaber (naked mole-rat), 427 nucleotides long. Lineage: Eukaryota; Metazoa; Chordata; Mammalia; Rodentia; Bathyergidae. The record is from Ensembl.
CACAGUUUACUGUGGCUCACGCAAAAGGAAUAAAUUUGGAUGUCAUGAAUGCUGUUGGAGUGCUUUCAUGUAUACUAGAGCCUUUGUUAAUUCUCUUAUGGGGAAGAUUAGCUUCAUCAAAUAAUGAAAUCUAAACAUAAAGUAAUCAGUUCUUGGCUACUACAGUACCACAUUUUCUCGACGUUAGGAUAAGUAGAGUUGAUAUUUACUCUGGAGUACCUUUCUCUUGCUGUUUUACUUUUAUAUCCCACUCUUCAAAAAAUACGUUAUUCCUUUUCAUCGGAUGCUCAAUUGAUUUGCCAGUUUCUCUAUCUCCCAUUCUUUCUGUGUUGCUACUUGGAUUCUAUAUAUUGGCUUAUCUUUCUCCUCUGUGAAUUGUUCUCCUUUGCCAUGCCCCUCUGCCUUGCUGCCUUGCCUUUCAGCCAGC